This 829-nucleotide ribosomal RNA is filed under the name uncultured Comamonadaceae bacterium. Its description in RNAcentral is "bacterial SSU rRNA". It matches the Rfam family "Bacterial small subunit ribosomal RNA", at positions 57 to 886 of the family's 1533-position model. Lineage: Bacteria; Pseudomonadati; Pseudomonadota; Betaproteobacteria; Burkholderiales; Comamonadaceae. The record is from RNAcentral.
GCAAGUCGAACGGUAGAGGGGGCAACCCCUCGAGAGUGGCGAACGGGUGAGUAAUAUAUCGGAACGUGCCCAGUCGUGGGGGAUAACGUAGCGAAAGUUACGCUAAUACCGCAUACGAUCUAAGGAUGAAAGCGGGGGAUCGCAAGACCUCGCGCGAUUGGAGCGGCCGAUAUCAGAUUAGGUAGUUGGUGGGGUAAAGGCUCACCAAGCCAACGAUCUGUAGCUGGUCUGAGAGGACGACCAGCCACACUGGAACUGAGACACGGUCCAGACUCCUACGGGAGGCAGCAGUGGGGAAUUUUGGACAAUGGACGCAAGUCUGAUCCAGCCAUUCCGCGUGCAGGAUGAAGGCCCUCGGGUUGUAAACUGCCUUUGUACGGAACGAAAAGGUUUCUAUUAAUACUAGGAGCUCAUGACGGUACCGUAAGAAUAAGCACCGGCUAACUACGUGCCAGCAGCCGCGGUAAUACGUAGGGUGCAAGCGUUAAUCGGAAUUACUGGGCGUAAAGCGUGCGCAGGCGGUUAUAUAAGACAGAUGUGAAAUCCCCGGGCUCAACCUGGGAACUGCAUUUGUGACUGUAUAGCUAGAGUACGGUAGAGGGGGAUGGAAUUCCGCGUGUAGCAGUGAAAUGCGUAGAUAUGCGGAGGAACGCCGAUGGCGAAGGCAAUCCCCUGGACCUGUACUGACGCUCAUGCACGAAAGCGUGGGGAGCAAACAGGAUUAGAUACCCUGGUAGUCCACGCCCUAAACGAUGUCAACUGGUUGUUGGGUCUUCACUGACUCAGUAACGAAGCUAACGCGUGAAGUUGACCGCCUGGGGAGUACGGC